GGGGAAUUUUCCGCAAUGGGCGCAAGCCUGACGGAGCAACGCCGCGUGAGGGAGGAAGGCCUGUGGGUUGUAAACCUCUUUUCUCAAGGAAGAACACAAUGACGGUACUUGAGGAAUCAGCAUCGGCUAACUCCGUGCCAGCAGCCGCGGUAAGACGGAGGAUGCAAGCGUUAUUCGGAAUUAUUGGGCGUAAAGCGUCCGUAGGUGGUUAUAAAAGUCUGUUGUUAAAGCCCACAGCUCAACUGUGGAUCGGCAAUGGAAACUGUAUGACUUGAGUGUGGUAGGGGUAGAGGGAAUUCCUAGUGUAGCGGUGAAAUGCGUAGAUAUUAGGAAGAACACCAGUGGCGAAGGCGCUCUACUGGGCCAUAACUGACACUGAUGGACGAAAGCUAGGGGAGCGAAAGGGAUUAGAUACCCCAGUAGUC
Molecule: ribosomal RNA, 425 nt
Filed under: uncultured cyanobacterium
Lineage: Bacteria; Bacillati; Cyanobacteriota
Description: bacterial SSU rRNA
Rfam family: Bacterial small subunit ribosomal RNA
Source: RNAcentral